UAACCAGAUCAGACUAGCGGGUAGGUGA
This 28-nucleotide small RNA is filed under the name Bombyx mori (domestic silkworm). Its description in RNAcentral is "ovarian small RNA-18707". The record is from RNAcentral. Lineage: Eukaryota; Metazoa; Arthropoda; Insecta; Lepidoptera; Bombycidae.